UCCUACGGGAGGCAGCAGUAAGGAAUAUUGGUCAAUGGGCGCAAGCCUGAACCAGCCAUGCCGCGUGCAGGAAGACGGCCCUAUGGGUUGUAAACUGCUUUUGUCAGGGAAUAAACCCCCGCUCGUGAGCGGGGCUGAAGGUACCUGAAGAAUAAGCAUCGGCUAACUCCGUGCCAGCAGCCGCGGUAAUACGGAGGAUGCAAGCGUUAUCCGGAUUCAUUGGGUUUAAAGGGUGCGCAGGCGGAUUGGUAAGUCAGGGGUGAAAUCCCACAGCUCAACUGUGGAACUGCCUUUGAUACUGUCAGUCUAGAGUAUAGUUGAAGUUGGCGGAAUGUGUCAUGUAGCGGUGAAAUGCUUAGAUAUGACACAGAACACCGAUCGCGAAGGCAGCUAGCUAAGCUAUAACUGACGCUCAUGCACGAAAGCGUGGGGAUCAAACAGGAUUAGAUACCCUGGUAGUCCACGCUGUAAACGAUGAUUACUCGAUGUUGGCGAUACACAGUCAGCGUCUGAGCGAAAGCAAUAAGUAAUCCACCUGGGGAGUACGAUCGCAAGAUUGAAACUCAAAGGA
This 571-nucleotide ribosomal RNA is filed under the name Solitalea canadensis. RNAcentral describes it as "bacterial SSU rRNA". It matches the Rfam family "Bacterial small subunit ribosomal RNA", at positions 337 to 908 of the family's 1533-position model. The record is from RNAcentral. RNAcentral also lists the same sequence under 1 other name. Lineage: Bacteria; Pseudomonadati; Bacteroidota; Sphingobacteriia; Sphingobacteriales; Sphingobacteriaceae.